Molecule: ribosomal RNA, 429 nt
Filed under: uncultured bacterium
Lineage: Bacteria
Description: partial 16S ribosomal RNA
Rfam family: Bacterial small subunit ribosomal RNA
Source: RNAcentral
UGAGGAAUCUUGCGCAAUGGGCGAAAGCCUGACGCAGCAACGCCGCGUGGAGGAUGAAGGUCUUCGGAUUGUAAACUUCUGUUAAUUGGGAAAAAAUGCAUACGUCAAAUAAACGUGUGAAAUGAUGGUACCAGUAGAGAAAGCACCGGCUAACUUCGUGCCAGCAGCCGCGGUAAUACGAAGGGUGCGAGCGUUAUUCGGAAUCAUUGGGCGUAAAGGGUGCGCAGGCGGCGCGUUAAGUCAGUUGUUUAAUUCCCCGGCCUAACUGGGGGCAAGCGGCAGAUACUGGCGUGCUAGAGGGUAGGAGAGAGAAGUGGAAUUCUCGGAGUAGCGGUAAAAUGCGUAGAUCUCGAGAGGAACACCGAUGGCGAAGGCAGCUUCUUGGCCUACUGCUGACGCUCAUGCACGAAAGCGUGAGGAGCAAACAGG